GGGUCAUGGACGAAAGUCUGACGGAGCAACGCCGCGUGAGCGAUGAAGGCCUUCGGGUCGUAAAGCUCUGUUGUUAGGGAAGAACAAGUGUGAGUUGAAUAAGCUCAUGCCUUGACGGUACCUAACCAGAAAGCCACGGCUAACUACGUGCCAGCAGCCGCGGUAAUA
RNAcentral lists this ribosomal RNA (168 nucleotides) under uncultured Bacillus sp. RNAcentral describes it as "partial 16S ribosomal RNA". It matches the Rfam family "Bacterial small subunit ribosomal RNA", at positions 366 to 525 of the family's 1533-position model. The record is from RNAcentral. Lineage: Bacteria; Bacillati; Bacillota; Bacilli; Caryophanales; Bacillaceae.